GACAGAGGGGGCAAGCGUUGCUCGGAAUUACUGGGCGUAAAGGGCGCGUAGGCGGCCACCGCAAGUCGGUUGUGAAAUCUCUGGGCUUAACCCAGAAAGGUCAACCGAUACUGCGGGGCUAGAGUGCAGAAGGGGCAACUGGAAUUCUCGGUGUAGCGGUGAAAUGCGUAGAUAUCGAGAGGAACACCUGCGGCGAAGGCGGGUUGCUGGGCUGACACUGACGCUGAAGCGCGAAAGCUAGGGGAGCGAACGGG
This 254-nucleotide ribosomal RNA is filed under the name uncultured bacterium. Its description in RNAcentral is "partial 16S ribosomal RNA". It matches the Rfam family "Bacterial small subunit ribosomal RNA", at positions 524 to 776 of the family's 1533-position model. The record is from RNAcentral.